RNAcentral lists this ribosomal RNA (253 nucleotides) under uncultured bacterium. RNAcentral's name for it is "partial 16S ribosomal RNA". It matches the Rfam family "Bacterial small subunit ribosomal RNA", at positions 524 to 776 of the family's 1533-position model. The record is from RNAcentral.
UACGUAGGGACCAAGCGUUGUUCGGAUUUACUGGGCGUAAAGGGCGCGUAGGCGGCGAAUCAAGUCAGUUGUGAAAUCUCCGAGCUUAACUCGGAACGGUCAACUGAUACUGUUUUGCUAGAGUGCAGAAAGGGCAACCGGAAUUCUUGGUGUAGCGGUGAAAUGCGUAGAUAUCAAGAGGAACACCUGAGGCGAAGGCGGGUUGCUAGGCUGACACUGACGCUGAAGCGCGAAAGCUAGGGUAGCAAACAGG